UUUGAUCCUCGCUCAGAUUGAACGCUGGCGGCAUGCUUUACACAUGCAAGUCGGACGGCAGCGGGGGCUUCGGCCUGCCGGCGAGUGGCGAACGGGUGAGUAAAGCGUCGGAACGUACCGAGUAAUGGGGGAUAACUGUCCGAAAGGACAGCUAAUACCGCAUACGCUCUGAGGAGGAAAGCGGGGGACCUUCGGGCCUCGCGUUAUUCGAGCGGCCGACGUCUGAUUAGCUAGUUGGUGAGGUAAAGGCUCACCAAGGCGACGAUCAGUAGCGGGUCUGAGAGGAUGAUCCGCCACACUGGGACUGAGACACGGCCCAGACUCCUACGGGAGGCAGCAGUGGGGAAUUUUGGACAAUGGGCGCAAGCCUGAUCCAGCCAUGCCGCGUGUCUGAAGAAGGC
This 401-nucleotide ribosomal RNA is filed under the name Gulbenkiania mobilis. Its description in RNAcentral is "bacterial SSU rRNA". It matches the Rfam family "Bacterial small subunit ribosomal RNA", at positions 12 to 415 of the family's 1533-position model. Lineage: Bacteria; Pseudomonadati; Pseudomonadota; Betaproteobacteria; Neisseriales; Chromobacteriaceae. The record is from RNAcentral.